UCAGGAAACUCAUCUAAGGAAGUUUAAAGGUGAACGACUUGGUGCACAGCUACGGGAGCUUCACAAAGCUGGCUUUUAAAAGGAACUGUAAAAUAAGAAUAAGUGAGAAACAGUGUAACCUUAGACUAAUGUUUUGUUAAUAAAUUUCUGGCUAUGUAUGAUCUCAAUCUGUUAUUACAAUAAUAAUAGUGGAUAAUGAAGAGAACACGUACUUUGUUUAAUGUCCACCACAAAAUGUAUUAUAAAUAUUUUCCAUAUUGUAUGAGUUUAAGACAAUGCCAUUGGUUAGCUGAUGAUCCUUACAGGUUUAGCUCUAUCCCAUGAAUAUAAUAAGCAAUUAAAAUUGAUCAUAACAGAUGAUCUUUAAUAGAUUAUUCAUGGGAAAGCAUUAAACCUAUAGGAGUUGAAGCUAAUUAGGUUUGAUCCAGAUAGAGUAGAUCCAAUUACUUGGACCAAGAGCUCUUCACCAGCAUCAAGGCCUCCCCAAUCUUGGGAGCUUUUAACAGACGAGCAUGGAAUGUCAAAUAUGCUCAGUAGUUGUGUGCUAGAUAUAUUACUGUGUGGUUUACAUGUAUCCUACAAGACAUAUUCAUAGGUAAGGGUGAUCAAAUUAUAUUGACACGGUUAUGCUAUAGAGAUCAUAGAAGAUUGCUAGAGUACAUCGGUGAUUGUAGAGUUAUUUUUACAAGUACGUUUCCUUGAUGUUGGUGAGGGGCUCUUGAUUUAGGGAAUUGGAUCUGUGCUCCAGUUCCCCGAAUUAAGCCUGAAUGCCUUCCACAUCCCCCCCCCCCCAGGCGCUGUAUAAUCCUCCGGGUUUAGCGCUUCCCCCUUGAUUAUAAUAAUAAUAAUAAUUUACAAGUACGUAUUUGGGGUUUUGAAUAAGGGGUAUAUGUACAGUGGACCCCCGAGUUUUGUGAUUAAUCCGUUCCAGAGAGCCCACCGAAGGUCGAAAUUCACGAAACUCGAAACCAUUUUCCCCAUAAGAAUAAUGGAAAUAAAAUUAAUCCGUUCCAGACACCCAAAAAUAUUAAAAUAAAAUAUUUUUUUUCAAAUUAAAGAUUUACAUAAUGAAAAACAAUGAGAAAAUCAAGUACAUGCAUUUAAAAUAAAUAAUAUUACACUUACCUUUACUGAAGACUUCUGGGUGGAUGGAAGAUGGGAGGAGGUGAUAGGAGGAAGGUGGACACUAUUCAUUCAUUCAUUAGAGAUUCGCCAAUACUUCAUAUGGUGACCCAGCUGUGGCCCCCGGUUGGGGGUGUCGUUGGUGGACACUAUUGUUUGGAAGGAGAAUCUCCUUCCAUUAGGACUUUACGUAGCAAGUCCUUAUCUGGGGUUUCUUCUUUUAAUGCCACUGGGAUUAUUAUUAUUAUAAUCAAGGGGGAAGCGCUAAACCCGGAGGAUUAUACAGCGCCUGGGGGGGGGGGGGAUAUGUGGAAGGCAUUCAGGCUUAAUUCGGGGAACUGGAGCACAGAUCCAAUUCCCUAAAUCAAGAGCCCCUCACCAACAUCAAGGAACCUUCCUUGAGGGGAAUGCCACUGGGAACAACUCGAGUCUGGACCCCUGGCACGCAAAGUACCUAUCCAAAAAGGUCUUUUUCUGGCGUUUCUAAGAUUUCCCUGAAGUGGGACACAACACUGUCAUUGUACAUGUUGCAGAUACGGCUUGUUUCAGCUUGGUCAGGGUGAUACUUUGCAACUCAUUCCACAUAUGUGCUUAAUCACUGAAGAAGGCACCUCAUCCACUCCCUCUUCCUCCGAAGCAACUUCCUCGGCUGUGGUCUGAUGCUGUUCCAGUUGAAGCUCUUGCAGUUCGUCAGUGGUUAGCUCUUCCCUGUGGUCCUCCACCAACUCUACCACAUCCCCGUCACUCACUUUAUUUACCAAAGGGCUUGCACUAGCUUUCCUUGGGUCCAUGAUGACUUAUUUAGCAGUUGCAAACACAAAAAACAAUGGAUUAUUAUGAAAUGUAUGAACCCGCAGGGUGAUGGUCACGUGUUGGUAAACAAUGGCACACUGAGCGUGAAUGGCGUGGGAGACUGGCUUUGUGUGCGCGGUGACGGGCGGACGGGUACCGGACGGUCGCCGAAGCACGAGUUUUUUCACAAAACUCGAGGCCAAAUUUUUCCCCAAAAACUCGCUGAAGGUCGAAUUUCGCGAAAGUCGAGGCUGCCGAAACUCGGGGGUCCACUGAAUCUGUUUUGAGAAAGAGAUUAGAAUAAUCUUAUACUAGUAGGGUUCUUUGAUACUCAUAGUAUGGUUUUCAAUAAAGUUUAGAUUAUUGUAAUGUAGGGUUAGGGGUAUUUUUAGAAUUUUUGUUAUGUGCAUAUCAACCUUUUAGGACAAAUAUAUUUCAUUAUUUUGUAGCAUCUUUGUGGAUAAAAAGGCUUCAAGGAAGAAUAUUUGGAUUUCUUUCUGGAGCCAUUUGAAUAUUCCACUUUCCCUACCACCCCAUCUUUUCAAGUUUUCUUUUACCAAUAAGUAUAUUUUAUUACAUAAUAUGGUACACAAGAUUAAUAUAUUUAAACUGAAUCUGUGAGAAGUAAAAUAUAUUUUUGUCCCACAAAGUUUAUACCCAUAUUACAAUUUAAAUUUUAUUGAAAACUAUACAGAUCAGAAAGUGCUAUUAGUAUAGUAUAUGAUCCUUUUUUCAAAAGAUACACAUCUCAAAAAAAAUUGAUAAACAGUGUUAUUCUUUACCCAACAAAACUUACACUCCACUAAUUUAAAACCCCAGAUUCUCAUAAAAAAAUUACAGUCACCAAUAUAUUCUAGCUACCUUCUCUGUUCUCCAUAGCACAAUACAGUCAAUAUAAUUUUAUCAUCCUUAUGAAUAUUACUGUAAUUAUAAAAUGUAAACAAACUGGGGAACAAAAAUAUAGCAGCCUAGUAAAUAUAUAUCAGAUGCUCUCAAUACUAAUAUAACUAUAGAAAUGUUUUAUGUUGUAUUAAUUUUGGUAUAAUACACAUAUACACCAAGCUGAAUUACUGUGAUUUCACCAUUUUUUUUUUUUCACUUUCCACGGUCCAAAUUUUCUUAUAAACCACACUACACAUUGCUCUCAAACAUGACAUCUAUAAUACCUCUAGUCUCCUCCCUACAAUGUUCAAAGCCCAUGUAUUACACCCAUAUAAAAGUGCUUGUAACACUGGUACAUUCCCGUUUCUUCCUCCGUAGAUGAACUUAUACUAUACCAUUAUAAUAAUUGUCUGACACAGCAACAGCAUGGAACCUCAGUACAGAGAUCUACCACUCAUAUGUUCAUCCAACCUAAUAAUUUUUUUUUUUUUACUAACACAUUGGCCAUUUCCCACCAAGGCAAGGUGACCUGAAAAAGAACACUUCCAUCAUUCACUCCAUCACUGCCUUGCCAGAGACAUGCUUAUGCUAUAGUUAAAAAAACAGCAUACCAACACCCCUCCUUCAGAGCACAGGCACCAUACUUCCCACCUCCAAGUCUCAAGUUUGGCUAACUGGUUUCCCUGAAUCCCUUCAUAAAUUUUACUUUGCUCACACUCCAAUAGCACGUCAAGUCAUAAAAACCAUUUAUCUCCACUCGCUCCUAACACAGGUCCAGUUUGUCACGAUCUACUAACACCAGUUUGCCCCACCCACCUAUACCAUGGAAAUGGCACUGUAUGACCCUUAUGGGUUUAGCACCUGGUUAUAAUUAUAAUAUACCAUAGAAAAAGACACAAAUGCAAUAUAAUGCAAUUCUUCACUGAUUAAAUUUUGCCCACACAGUGGGCAAAACAUCACAAACAGAUCUGUUUGUGUCUUGAUAAGGUACACUGUGGGUGAAAUGUAGCCAAAAAAGGAUCACAUACUGCAUUUGUGUAUUUUUCCAUUGUGUUGGUAUUUUAUACCAUUUAUCUCCACCUAUAUUAUCUCCAACUGCUACACCUUACCUCUUUCUCCAGUAUACAAGCCUCUGUGCUCAUUGCUUUGUUUGAGGCAGUUACAGGACUGAACACCUAUCAAGGCUAAACAACUGAAUAUCUUAUCUUUCCAGCUGCAUUGUCUCCAGUUUAAAAGACUCCACCCACUGUAUUCAACUGAUGCAGCUUGCUGUGAAGGCAAAACAUUUCAACAAUAAAAGUACCCAAGUGUUUCCCAUGUCUUAUUCAUUAGCUUUUUGGCAUUAUACAGCAUACCCUUAAUUUUUUUUCAACAAACUGGCCGUAUCCCACUGAGUAAUUUAUACAGGAGAAAAGGUUACUAGCCCCUUGAUCCUGGCAUUUAAGUUUCCUCUUACAACACGCAUGGCUUACGGAGGAAGAAUUCUUUUCUACUUCCCCCAUACAUGUAAGAGAAAAUGAAGAACAAAAACCAGUAAGAAAAUAGAAGAAAACCCAAAUGGGUGUGUAAAUAUAUAUGUUUGUAUAUGCAUGUGUAGUGUGACCUAAGUGUAAGCAGAAGUAGCAACAUACCUGUUAUCCCAUGUAUCAUACCAUUAAUACAGCCUUUCCUCACUUAACAAUGGAGUUUCGUUCCAAAUACCACGUUAGUAAACAAAUUCAUCGCUAAACGAGGAGCAUACUAUAAUGGUAGUGGGUUUAUUUCAACCAUCUUUGAUAUUGCUUUAAUGUCACCCUUGCACCAUUUACGUAUAACAUUUUUAGUAUACGUAUUUUUAAAUGUUUAUACGGUAGUAUACUGUACUAUAUAUAUUGUAAUAAACAGAAAAUAGGAAAUCAGUUCUAAUAUACAUUAUUUAGGUAUGCAUACUGGUCAGAGAGCCCGUUGUAAGUCCGAGUCGUUGGUAAACGAGUACGUCACUAAGUGAGGAGAGGCUGUAUAUAUUUACCUACAGUGGAUAAAAAUUAGUUUGUAAUGAAGCUCUGAAAGGUAUGUAUAUAAUAAGACAGCUGUUAGUGGAAGAUGGCCAGCAUGGUUAAAAAAUGAACAAUGAAAAAGAAUAAGCCAAUUGUCUAAAAAUAUGACUUUGCAAAGAUUAAUAUCCUUCAGAAA
Cherax quadricarinatus is the source of this 4968-nucleotide non-coding RNA. Lineage: Eukaryota; Metazoa; Arthropoda; Malacostraca; Decapoda; Parastacidae. The record is from RefSeq and is a predicted model, not a curated record.